GACGAACGCUGGCGGCGUGCUUAACACAUGCAAGUCGAACGAUGAAGCCGGAGCUUGCUCUGGUGAAUUAGUGGCGAACGGGUGAGUAACACGUGAGUAACCUGCCCUUGACUCUGGGAUAACUGCUAGAAAUGGUAGCUAAUACCGGAUACGACCCUCGGCGGCAUCGCCAGGGGGUGGAAAGAAUUUCGGUCAAGGAUGGACUCGCGGCCUAUCAGCUAGUUGGUGAGGUAAUGGCUCACCAAGGCGACGACGGGUAGCCGGCCUGAGAGGGUGACCGGCCACACUGGGACUGAGACACGGCCCAGACUCCUACGGGAGGCAGCAGUGGGGAAUAUUGCACAAUGGGCGCAAGCCUGAUGCAGCAACGCCGCGUGAGGGACGACGGCCUCGGUU
RNAcentral lists this ribosomal RNA (396 nucleotides) under uncultured bacterium. Its description in RNAcentral is "bacterial SSU rRNA". It matches the Rfam family "Bacterial small subunit ribosomal RNA", at positions 28 to 424 of the family's 1533-position model. The record is from RNAcentral.